GACGAACGCUGGCGGCGUGCUUAACACAUGCAAGUCGAACGGAAAGGCCCUGCUUUUGUGGGGUGCUCGAGUGGCGAACGGGUGAGUAACACGUGAGUAACCUGCCCUUGACUUUGGGAUAACUUCAGGAAACUGGGGCUAAUACCGGAUAGGAGCUCCUGCUGCAUGGUGGGGGUUGGAACGUUUCGGCGGUUGGGGAUGGACUCGCGGCUUAUCAGCUUGUUGGUGGGGUAGUGGCUUACCAAGGCUUUGACGGGUAGCCGGCCUGAGAGGGUGACCGGCCACAGUGGGACUGAGAUACGGACCGGACUCCUACGGGAGGCAGCAGUGGGGAAUAGUGCACAAUGGGCUGAAGCCUGAUGCAGCAACGCCGCGUGCGGAAUGACGGCCUUCGGGUUGUAAACCGCUUUCGCCUGUGACGAAGCGUGAGUGACGGUAAUAGGUAAAGAAGCACCGGCUAACUACGUG
RNAcentral lists this ribosomal RNA (468 nucleotides) under uncultured bacterium. RNAcentral describes it as "partial 16S ribosomal RNA". It matches the Rfam family "Bacterial small subunit ribosomal RNA", at positions 28 to 507 of the family's 1533-position model. The record is from RNAcentral.